Molecule: long non-coding RNA, 1434 nt
Filed under: Homo sapiens (human)
Lineage: Eukaryota; Metazoa; Chordata; Mammalia; Primates; Hominidae
Description: HSALNT0137123
Source: RNAcentral
GGGCGCCCCCUGUCCGCACGGAGGAGCCGAAGUCCCGCAGGGUGGGGUCCCCGCCUGCGCCGAGAGGGCCACCUGGUCGAGAGAACAGGCGACACGGAAACCUGAGAAACUCCUCUGUCUGGUGCACCUAACCCUCUUCCUCAUAAAGUGCACACGAACUCUGGUUUUUCCGUUGCAAAUUUUGCUUUCUACAUAGACCAUACCAUUCGUUGCUCUCUGAGGAUGAGCUCCUGGCUUCCCAGUCCAGCAGAAGUAUCUACAUCUAUUUCUGGAAAGGACCUGAACUUGGCUUCUCGUCCUUCUGGAAAGUGAGGCGAAAAUGCCAGGCUGCGCAGCUAUCCUGAGGCCCGGCCUGGAACCUGGCUAGCCACCCAGUCCUGAUACCUCAUCUCCUUUCUGUUGGAUAAAGUCAUUGGAUAAGAUCCCCCAGGGUCUUCUUAAUACUGAACAUCUGUUCAUAAUCACAUAAGUGACCAAGUAUAGUGGAAAACCCGAAUGGUCAACUGAGCUGAGCAGUGGGAGAGAGCGCAGGGUGAGCUCACCUACACCUGAGCAAGAAGCCGGGGCUAAAUACGUGGAAAUCACUGAGAUGGAUUUUGAUACAGGGCAGAAAGAAGAGUAAAAUCAUCUCAUAUUACUUUCCACCUGAAGCUCUGAGCCGAAAGAGUUAUUUGCUCAAACACUCUGAAAUGGGGAGGGACAGAGCUCUGACCCCUCCGUCCAGGCCUGUUUGUUGUUUUUUUUUUUUGUUUGUUUUGUUUUUUUUUUUUUGUGAGACGGAGUUUCAUUCUUGUUGCCCAGGCUGGAGUGCCAUGGCGCGAUCUCGGCUCACCGCAAACUCCGCCUCCUGGGUUCAAGCGAUUCUCCUGCCUCAGCCUCCGGAGUAGCUGGGAUUACAGGCAUGCGCCACCAUGCCCGGCUAAUUUUUUUUUUUUUUUUUUUUUUUUUAGUAGAGACGGGGUUUCUCCAUGUUGAUCAUGCUGGUCUCAAACUCCAGAUCUCAGGCCCGCCUCGGCCUCCCAAAGUGCUGGGAUUACAGGCGUGAGCCACCGCGCUCGCCCCGUCAGGACUCUUUCUUGAGGUUUUGUCUUCUGUUCCUUGGCUUACCUCAUCCUUUAAGUAUUUGAGGAACUGGUGAACAAGUUAACUACUUUGAUAGUAAACGAGGAAAUUUCUUUAUAGAGAAAAGCAAAAUGUGGCCCAGCAGGUAUGUGAAAAAUGGCUGAUGUGACUAGAACUAAGGAAACAAAUGGUUAAGAUAAUAUUAGACAAAAGUAAUGGAAAUUUUUUUUUUUUGGAAAACAGUAUGGAGGGUCCUCAAAAAAUUAAAAAUGGAACUUCCAUGUGAACCAGCCAUCCCACUUCUGGGUAUAUACCCAAAGAAAAUGAAAUUGGUAUCUAGAAGAGAUACCUGCACUCCCAUGUUUAUUGCAG